GAGCUACUCCCUCCGUUCUGAAUUACUUGUCUCGGAAUUGGAUGUAUCUAGAACUAAAAUACAUCUAGAUACAUCCAUUUCUACGACAAGUAAUUCCGAACGGAGGGAGUAGCUC
Molecule: non-coding RNA, 115 nt
Organism: Triticum aestivum (bread wheat)
Lineage: Eukaryota; Viridiplantae; Streptophyta; Magnoliopsida; Poales; Poaceae
Source: Rfam